This 577-nucleotide long non-coding RNA is filed under the name Ananas comosus (pineapple). RNAcentral's name for it is "long non-coding RNA (ACOM_LNC009874)". Lineage: Eukaryota; Viridiplantae; Streptophyta; Magnoliopsida; Poales; Bromeliaceae. The record is from RNAcentral.
AAAUAGUGUAACUUUCGCUCAAAUAGUGAUAGUUUCAUCUCAAACAGUAUAAUUUUUAUCUCAAACAAUAUAAAUUUCGCUCAAAUAGUACAAUUUUCGAUAUACGAGUGUAAUUUAAUUCAUCUUAAGGAGUACAACUUUCGUCUCAAAUGGUGCAACUUUUUUUUGAAACAGUGCAAAUUCAUCUUCUCCUUCUUUCUUCUCUAAUUAUUUGCCUUUUCUGUGACAACGACGAUACAUAAUGAUCUUUCAAAGAGAAAAUUUUUUUUUCUUUUUUUUAUUUUUUUAUUUUUUAUUCUUAUUUUUCUACCUUCUCCAUCUUUUUUUGCUAUCGCGUCCUCUCCCUCGCCCUACACUGCAACCACCGUCCUCACCAGACGCACUCUCCCGCCUCGUCGUCCUUAAAUCCUUCAAUACCCUCAUCGCUACCACUAUUUGCGGUCAUGUGCUCCAUUGCAAGCUCACUUCACGCGAUCUACAUCAUAUCUGAGUCGGCGUCAGUUUUUCUACCCUCUGCAUCUUCUUCCUUGAUCUUUACAUUAAUCAACCAUAAAUUUGUAAUAAUCAAAUUAAAUUU